Podarcis lilfordi (Lilford's wall lizard) is the source of this 4928-nucleotide non-coding RNA. The record is from the annotation of a GenBank genome assembly. Lineage: Eukaryota; Metazoa; Chordata; Lepidosauria; Squamata; Lacertidae.
CACCUUAUCUUUCCUCCAGCAUAGCUAAGUAGCAGGCAUGCUCAAAUCCUUAGUUGUCACCAUGUGACAUUCAUAAGAAAGAAAUUAAAUAGUUUGGCAGAUCUUACAAACCCUUGCAAAACUUAUCGCACAAAAGUAUAUUUGUUCAACAUAAAUGUGACACAUCUGAAUGUGACUCUGUCACAGGCAAAAAACUGACACUCCCUUCACUGCUCUUAUGAGACAGGCAAGGCAGUUUUGAUCAACUUUGACUUGACACUUACCAGUUUCACAAACUCUGCCAUUCGUGAUAUAAGUCCCUUGCAUCACUUGAGCAUGUAGAAAUGCAAUAUAUGCACCACCUUCCUCAAUAUGAUGUGAAACAGAAAUGCUGACCUUGGCAAUAAACUUAAAUGUCUGUGAAACAUCUGUGAACUCUCUGAUGGUUCGUUUUCGGUGCAGAAAACUGUGGGAAAGUCUUUGAAUGAUAGUUGAGAUAAAGAAGUUUGCUCUCAAAGUUUUGCUGUGCUUUAAGAGUAAUUGAGUUGCAUGUCAUCACAGCCCAACAUUAUCUGAUGACCUUCAGUUCUUAGUGGUUAUAUAUGUACAGAAGUGUAUGGAAUUGUUCAUCUUGCUGGGAAUUCCCUUUAGGGUUUUGAGAAUUUUAUUUUCUUUUAUUUAGGUUGGCUAUAAUAUUGAGGGCAGGCAAGGAGGAGAAAUUUAAUAUAUGCACUGGAAAUUCUGUGAAUAUCAGCAAACUUACAAGCUCCCUGGGGCCUAUAAUGGUCAUUUUCAUGCCACUUAGUACAUGUUUGCAGCAGGUUAUUAUAACUGGGCCAGACUUACUAGACAGCUGCCAAGACACUUAACUUCUUGAAGCUGCAGAUGGGAGAGGUGUUUUCUCUUUUCAGCACUUAGUAUACAAAUGUGUCUACUGCUCUUGAACAGCAGUAGGGUCGUGACUGUUUUCAUUGUACAAUGCAUGAAAGAAGGGUCUCAAACAGUGACUCCUGAAAGAAUGGGUGGCACUGGCAGAGCACUGAAAUAGAUGUGGUGGACUAUUCAUAAAUGAUAACUUUUCAAAGCAAACAUUUGGUUGGAGUAGAUUAGAUUAACUCAAGGUUGAAGGCAAAGGGGUUAGCACUGCACUGACCUGCUAACUGUCUCAGUGGUGCCCCUCUUCCUCCUGGGAAGCAGCAGUGACUCACUUGACAGGAGGUCAGGUAAGGGGACAGGGUGCCAGGCAGGAAGGAGAAGUGGGUCUUGUGUGGAAAGAAGGAGAAACUGUGAAAGGGAGACCUACUUGACUAGCUGUGCCUUCCAAGGAGAAGGCAUGGAUGAAUGCCUUUGGAUGCAGGGAUGAGAGCCUGGAUGAGAGCUUGGGUAUGGGGUGUACACUGGCUUUCCUGCCCAUCCACCCGAUGCUCUGCCCCCUGGAGCAGAACCAUAGAUGGUGGUGGUCUUUCACAAGGGCCUUCCCUGCAAGGAAGGUGCUUACCAAAAUCAGCACCACACAGGAUGGAACCCUCUGCUUACCAGCUGGUAAGCAGGCAGUUCCACCCUACGGGGUGCAGGUUGCUGCUUCUUUGUGAGGGUUCUUCUCUGUAGGGAAGGUGGCACGCGGUUCACUGAUAAGCGGAGCAUUUGGUCCUGCAGGUGCAGGCUCCUGCUCUUUCACCAGGUACUUCCCUGUAGGGGAGGUGGUCAUGAAGGAGCAGCACCAAUUUCUGCAUGCUCUUCUCCAUCAGUUUGAUAUAGAUAUUUGAAGGGCAUGACAGACAAGAUGGAACUUUGCAGCACCCCAUAUGUCAAAGACACUUGUCCUUGUUGUUGUUGUUUAGUCGUGUCCAACUCUUCAUGACCCCAUGGAUCAGAGCACGCCAGGCACUCCUGUCUUCCAAUGCCUCCCGCAGUUUGAUCAAACCCAUGCUGGUAGCUUCGAGAACACUGCCCAACCAUCUCGUCCUCUGUCGUCCCCUUCUCCUUGUGCCUUCAAUCUUUCCCAACAUCAGGGUCUUUUCCAGGGAGUUUUCUCUUCUCAUGAGGUGGCCAGAGUAUUGGAGCCUCAGCUUCACGAUCUGUCCUUCCAGUGAGCACUCAGGGCUGAUUUCUUUAAGAAUGGGAAGGUUUGAUCUUCUUGCAGUCCAUGGGGCUCUCAAGAGUCUCCUCCAGACCAUAAUUCAAAAGCAUCUAUUCUUCGGCGAUCAGCCUUCUUUAUGGUCCAGUUCUCACUUCCAUACAUCACUAUGGAAAAACCAUAGCUUUAACUAUACAGACCUUUGUUGGCAAGGUGAUGUCUCUGCUUUUUAAGAUGCUGUCUAUUUUAAGAUGCUGUCUUAAGAUGCUUGUCCUUAACAGGGGAUUAAGUUUUAUAACCUGUGUGAUCCUUCCACUGCUCUGCUUACAGAUUCUGUAGUAAUGGCCUGCAAGAAAUAUGUAAUUCAGUCCUAAGAUUUACUGGAUUGGCAAAUAAUUUGCAGGGAUGGAACAUCUCAAAUACAGCAGUUGUUGAACCACACUAGCAUUGUAGGGAUGUUACACUGAUGUUGCCAGAAAGCUUAUAUAAACUUCGUGGUCAGGAUGCCAGACGUGGAUUUUCCAAUAUAGGACCACACAGUUUUAUUGAAAUUCAGGACUCAUUAGCUUUAAACUCUAGAAUUUAUUUAUUAAUAGACUGUAAGAAAAAGAUUCUGAAAUGUUGCCAGCAUUACUUAUCAUGAUUAUUUUCUGUCUCACAUGUGUUUUAUUGGAUUUUAAUGAUUAACUUUAAACCAUCUAGAAUGCUGAAAUAGGAUUGCUGCAGGAUUUUGAACUCUUCUUAACUCAUCUUUGUAUCUUAGAUAGUAUUAAAUUAAUAGAAAAUGCAAUACCAGCAUAAAAUUACUAAUCUUGGGUGGCCUUAAUGCUGUGGACUUACGUGUCAGUAUUUUAUUUUCCUUUGUCUGCCAAAAUAAACCAUUUUCUCUUAAAUGCGUGGAAGAUUAAACAGAUAACUAGUUAAUUCCUUAUUCCAGAGUCCCACCUGUUAUUUGCUGUAACCAAGUUACGGUAGAUGUUAUCCAAAGAAAAAAUCUCCUGUAAAUUUGGGGAAGAGCUCAAAUGUUCUUCUGUACCUAAGAAAGGUGUUUAUGGCCAUCCAUAGUGGCUUUGGGGCAUUUCUGAAGCAAGCUCCCCAAAUUUACCAUGGCCUGCAGAUAGAGGAAAGGUUUGCAUAGAUAACAGACCUAUGAUCUAAUGGAGAGGCUGGUUUCUGGAUGGCUUGUUUUGAAUAGCUUACUCCACUCUUUUGUUGUUGCUGUUGUUUUGCUCAGUGCUUUUAUCAUAUUUUAUGUGAUACAAUGAUGCUGUAAACUGCUUUUCCAUGGGCAGUCUUAAUAGCCCUUUCCCUGAAUGUGUGGAAAGAGAAGCAGAAUCAUUUGCUAUCCUCAAUACCUCUCUGCAUGUUGAGCUGAAGGUCUGAAAAGAGCCUAUGAAAAUUUGUGCAGGUUUCCUGAUUACACAGAGCUAAUCUGCAUUCACAGGCUCUAUUAAACUUUUGAUGGGGUAGGGACAGUGGAUGAGAUCACAGUUUAAGCCUGAAGAUGUUCAUUGUCAUUGUCAUGUGAAACGGACAAUGAAGGCCACCCAAAGUAAGGUGAUUCAUGUAGUGAAUCCAUAGGUUAGCCCAAUGUAUUCGUUUCCCACAUCCAGUCUCAUUUGAAUACUUACUCCAGUGAAGUCUCAUUUACUCCUAUGGGAUCGUAAGAUUUGCCAUAUAUUUAGGAUUGUGGUCUUGGAGCUUAACAGAGUCUUUCUUCUGCAGUUGGGAGAUCUGGUUACAAUAAAAUCGCUGACUUUCAUAACGUUAUUAUCUGUCUUAGCCAAAUGUUUUGUUAGGACAAAAGCCAAAUGCUAUUAAUUUAUAUUUCCUGUGUCUGUAAUGACUGUAGAAACUACAUUGUAGUUUUUCUUUCUGAUUUGUUCUUCAAUAUCAUAUAUCAUGAACAGAAAACUGUAGCGUCAACUAAAUAGAUUUGUGCUGGGAAUACCAUGUGGGAACCAAAACUCUAAUUGCAACUACAAGGGAAAAGAACACAAAUAAACCAACACACUGCAUAUUUCUAUACUAUAAGCAACAUUUUUGCUAUACAUCGCUCUGUUGCAUUUAAAGAAUUUGUAUUUUUGGUAGCCUAGUACACCAAUAAGGGGGGAACCUCUGACCCACAGGUUUGAUUAGGCCUGCCAGACUUCACCAUUUGUCCUGCUAGACCAGAGCUUUCCAAACUUUUCAUGUUGGUGGCACACAUUUUAGAUGUGCAUCAUUUUGUGACAUUCAGUUUUACUAGCAAACCAGAGGUUAAACUAACCCCUUUGCAGGAGCGCAGGGAGCGUUUGCGCGACACACCUACACACUGCAGCCGACACAUUAACACGUCACAACAGUUUGGAAAGCUCUGUGCUAGACCAUUUUAUCCAAGCCACACGUAUCCUACACCUGACAUCAUGUAUGAUCAGGUAAAGACGCAGCUGAGCCCAAAGGUUGCAGGCCAGCUGAUCAGCAACACAAAGGAAAACACGUCACCAGAUGCUAUUCAGAGGAGAAAGCCAUGGUGAGCAAGUCCUUGUGAAGCCUUAACAAGGCUCGUUAGGUAAAUCCAGCCACUAUGUUUGUACAUAAGAAUGUAGGGAGUAGAUACCUUCUCUCAGACAGCCCAUCUUCAAAGGCAUUUGUGGGGAAAAGAAAGUGCCAAUUCAAAUGUCAAAAUUAUUUACACAAACUUCUUGAACAUGGACAAUUUAUAAGGUACUUUAAAAAAUCCUAUCUCUACUGCUUGUGAUUUUUUUAAAAAAAUGUUAUUUAUGUACAGCUUUUGUAGGCUACGCUCUUACAAAAUGUUCUGAGGUGGGUUAGUGUAUAUUUUGAAAAUUCAGACACUAGAAUGAUACAGAUAUGAUGCAGCAUACAACUC